RNAcentral lists this long non-coding RNA (219 nucleotides) under Hordeum vulgare. RNAcentral's name for it is "long non-coding RNA (HVUL_LNC004507)". The record is from RNAcentral. Lineage: Eukaryota; Viridiplantae; Streptophyta; Magnoliopsida; Poales; Poaceae.
CUCAUCCGUCGUGUCCUGAGAAUGAGAUACGCGGCUCCUAUCGGGAUCGUCGACAUGUCGGGCGGUCUUGCUGGAUUAGUUUUACCUUUGACGAGAUAUCUUGUGCAUCGGGAUUCCGGUGAUGCUUUGGGUAAUCUCAGAGUUGAGGUUUUCCACUAGGGAAUCCGACGAGAUCGCGAGCUUCGUGAUUGAGGAUUUCUAUGCGGCUUGUGAUAAUUU